GUUGAAAGUGUACCUACAGACGUUUGUUUGUAUAGGUCCCCACUUUUUUUACGUAGUCCAUAGAUCUCAUAAUAUCGGUUGAUUUUGUCCAUAAGAUAGGUUGAGUUUGUAGUCCAUAGGUCUCAUCAGAGGUAGUCCAUCGGUCGAACACUGAUAGCAAGUUGUAAUAGACGAAGUAAUGAGAGUAAAGGAACUUGUUAUAGAGCGCCAAACGUUUUUUUCCGUUUCCACUAAUCAAUAGUAAUGUAUGUUUAUAAACAAGAGACCUUUUGAUCUAAUUUUACAACUCCUACCGUUGAACUAUAAUACAAACAAGACGUUGAUCUUUACGACCACUACUGUUGAUUACUCUAUAAGAACACGCUGAUCUUUACGACUACUACGGUUGAUUACUCUAUAAGAACACGUUGAUCUCUCCGACUCCUACUGUUGAUGAACUUAUUACAACACGUUGAUCUUAACAUCUCCCACGGUUGAUUUAUCUAUGAGAAGACGUUGAUCUUUAGGACUCCCACGGUUCACUAAUCUAUGGCAACCCGUUAGGAGUUUUAAAAAUUCUACCCUAUUUAGACUUAAGAAUACGUUGAUCUCUCCGACUCCUACAGUUGAUGAACCUAUUACAACAGGUUGAUAUUAACGGCUCCCACGGUUGAUUUAUCUAUGAGAAGACGUUGAUCUUUCGGACUCCCACGGUUCAGCAAUGUAUGACAUCCCUUUAGGAGUUAAAAAAAUUCUACCCUGAUUAGACUCAAAAACACGUUGAUCUUUUCUACUCCUACAGUUGAUCAAUAUAUAACAACACGUUGAUCUUAAUGACUCCAACGGUUGAUUAAUCUAUGAUAAGACGUUGAUCUUUCGGACUCCUACGGUUCAACAAUGUAUGAGAACCCUGUUAAGAUUUUUUGAACUUCUACCGUUGCAACUCGUUGACUCUUUCAACUCGUACGGUUACGAAUUAAUCAGGAAGACGUUAGUACAUACUUUUAAGUAUGUGAACCGACGGACAUACACCUCAUUUUUUAUAAGGACUACCUUGAAAUACAAUGGUGUCGCCGACGACGUCUUCUACACCGUAGAUGGGGAAACCUAUGACGGAGGCGCGCGUGGAAAGAAGAGACGUCAAAAUGAUUCUCCUUAGAAAGCGGUGGCACUUCAAAACUGAUCGUCUAAGACACGUUGAU
RNAcentral lists this ribosomal RNA (1181 nucleotides) under Triticum aestivum (bread wheat). RNAcentral describes it as "partial small subunit ribosomal RNA". Lineage: Eukaryota; Viridiplantae; Streptophyta; Magnoliopsida; Poales; Poaceae. The record is from RNAcentral.